Molecule: ribosomal RNA, 253 nt
Filed under: uncultured bacterium
Lineage: Bacteria
Description: partial 16S ribosomal RNA
Rfam family: Bacterial small subunit ribosomal RNA
Source: RNAcentral
UACGUAGGGGGCAAGCGUUGUCCGGAAUCAUUGGGCGUAAAGCGCACGUAGGCGGCCCGGUAAGUCCGUUGUGAAAGUCAGAGGCUCAACCUCUGGAGGCCAAUGGAUACUGCCGGGCUAGAGUCCGGAAGAGGCGAGUGGAAUUCCUGGUGUAGCGGUGGAAUGCGCAGAUAUCAGGAGGAACACCAAUGGCGAAGGCAGCUCGCUGGGACGGUACUGACGCUGAGAAGCGAAAGCAUGGGGAGCAAACAGG